UAGGUACCGCCCAAGAGAUCGGGAUAACACCUGGAAACAGAUGCUAAUACCGGAUAACAACAGAUGAUGCCUAUCAACUGUUUAAAAGAUGGUUCUGCUAUCACUCUUGGAUGGACCUGCGGUGCAUUAGCUAGUUGGUAGGGUAACGGCCUACCAAGGCGAUGAUGCAUAGCCGAGUUGAGAGACUGAUCGGCCACAUUGGGACUGAGACACGGCCCAAACUCCUACGGGAGGCAGCAGC
This 241-nucleotide ribosomal RNA is filed under the name uncultured Lactobacillus sp. RNAcentral's name for it is "partial 16S ribosomal RNA". It matches the Rfam family "Bacterial small subunit ribosomal RNA", at positions 118 to 355 of the family's 1533-position model. The record is from RNAcentral. Lineage: Bacteria; Bacillati; Bacillota; Bacilli; Lactobacillales; Lactobacillaceae.